Antechinus flavipes (yellow-footed antechinus) is the source of this 17021-nucleotide RNA transcript. It is a transcript of the gene named zinc finger protein 260-like, with no coding region annotated. The record is from RefSeq and is a predicted model, not a curated record. The transcript is spliced from 5 exons. Lineage: Eukaryota; Metazoa; Chordata; Mammalia; Dasyuromorphia; Dasyuridae.
GAAAAAUUACCCAGGCAUAUGUUUUGUAAAUAAAAAGCUUUAAUUUAAAACAAGGAUCAUAGAUAAUAUUGUGUUUGAUAUUCCCACUAUUUCUGUCACCAGGCACACAGUCAGUGCCCAAUGAUUGAGGGACGCUCACCGCUGACUCCAUCUCUGUGCCGGGCUGCAGACGCUCCUCCGGAGUUAGAGAUUCUGAGAGCUGUUAUAGCGGCGGCGCAGUGACGGACACGUCUCCCACGCACAUACACAGACACGCGGCCUCCGCUUCCGCACACGUGACAGGAGAAGCUGGGCAGGGGGCGGCCCCCGAGCAUCCCCUCCAGCUGCGGACCUCACCUAGAUCGCGGCCACAAUGCGCGUAGCGGACUGAAAGCACUGUACACAUGCGCGCAAGGACUAGGGCCAUCUAGGGGCGGGGCAUCGCAUGACGCCACUCGGCUCGGCAGAGCGCUAGAGCCUAAACACGGAGUUUCUAGCAAUUUUUGCGGGUGAAUUGGACGUUUAUUUAGCCGGUAUUUUACAGCCACUUCACUAUGUCUGGCUUUUCCUCUCCCAUCCAGCUCCCAAGAGAAGAAGCGCCUUGACGGUAGAGAGCCCCUCGGUUAACGCCCCUCACCCCCGCCGCCUAGCGCUUGGAGUUAAAGUUCCUUUAACUCCCGGAGAUUUAAUAUAGCUUGUGCGCCUGCGCGCCAUCCACAGAACUACAUUUCCCAGAAGGGAGGAGAGGAAUCUCGGCUUCCAAUGCAAAGCCAAGCUGUCUCUGAGCAGGAGCAAUUAAGGAGCUGUUUUCGGCCCUUUUCUCUUCCUUGAGAGGGUGUUGCGGAGACAUGUACGCCACGUGGAAUUUAUUGACAUUUCAAGAUGUUGCUGUGGAAUUCACCCAGGAGGAAUGGAGUUAUUUGGAUCCUGGUCAGAAGGACAUGUACAGGGACGUGAUGCUGGAGAACUAUGAGAACUUUGUCUUCCUUGGGUUUCCAGUAACUAAACCAACUGUGAUUUCUCGUCUGGAGAGACACGAAGCCCCCUGGAUAUCAAGGGAAGAAGACCCCAGAUGCAUUUCUGAGGAUUCCCCUGUUGAGGAAAGAAAAUAUGAAACCAAGGAGUCAACUCCAAAACAAUGUAUUCCUACCAGAGAGAUAUCCAGAGAGAAACUUAUCAAGGAUGAUUUCUGGGAUACUAAAUUGGAAGAAACUUGGAAUUAUGACACUGGAUUAGAAAGUCAGAUAAACAACCUGGAAAGACAGUCCAUGAAGCCAAUAAUUACUUGCAGCAAAACUUCAUCUAGCAAAAUUUCCAUGGAGAAGAACCUUUGUAAGUUUAAUAAAUAUAAGAAAUUUUAUUGUCACCAUUCAGAACUUAAUGAUUACUAUAGAGUGUGCUGUCAAGGAAAACCUCAUAGAAUUGAUGAAUGCAGCAAAACCUUCGACAUCAAUUCAAGCCUUAGGGUACAUGGAGGAAUUCAGGCUGGAAUGAAAGCUCAUAAAUUUGGUGAAUGUGGUAAGGCUUCCAGCUACAAUUCACCCCUUGCUGUUCAUCAGAAAAAUCUGGAGGAAAAGCAUAUAAAACAAUGUAAUACAGGUGGGAAAACAUUUAGUCAGAGGAGAUAUGUUUGCCAACAUAAGAGAAUUCCUACUAAAGAGAAUCCCUAUGAAUGUAAUGAAUGUGGAAAAGCCUUCCUCGGGAAGACAAGCCUUUGUAUACAUGAGAGAGUUCAUACAGGAGAGAAACCACAUCAACGUAAUGAGUGUGAAAAAGCUUUUCAGGAUAAGCCAGGCCUUAAAGGACAUGAGAGAAUCCAUACUGGGCGGAAAUCCUAUAUAUGUAAUGAAUGUGGAAAAGCCUUCAGAGACAAGGCAUAUCUAGAUAUGCAUCAGGCAGUUCAUUCUGGUGAGAAGCCUUAUAAAUGUAAUGAAUGUGGAAAAGCCUUCAGAUUUAAAGGAAUCUUUUCUUCACAUAAGAAAAUGCAUGCUGGAGUGACACCCCAUAAAUGUAAUGUGUGUGGAAAAGUCUUUAUGAGGAAUGAUCGCCUUAAAAGGCAUGAGAGAACUCAUACUGGAGAGAAACCAUUUAAAUGUAAAAAAUGUGAGAAAGCUUUCACGAGUAAGAGAAGCCUUAAUCUACAUGAACUAAUUCAUACUGGGCAGAAGCCCUAUAAAUGUAAUGAAUGUGGAAAAGACUUCACUUGUAAGGAAAGCCUUGGUCUACAUAUGGCAAUUCAUACUGGGCAUAAGCCCUAUGAAUGUAAUGUAUGUGGAAAAUUCUUCAGACAGAGAGGAGGCCUUAUUUCACAUAAGAGAAUUCAUACUGGAGAGAAACCCUUUGAAUGUAAUGAAUGCGGAAAAGCCUUCAGGGAGAAAGGAAGCCUUAAUAGACAUAAGAUUAUUCAUACUGGGGAGAGACCUCACAAUUGUAAUGAAUGUGGAAAAACCUUCAACUAUAAGGGACAUCUGAAUAGACAUAAGAAAACUCAUACAAAAGUGAAACCAUAAAUGUAAUGAAUGUGGAAAAGCCUUCAAAUAUAUGGGAAACCUUAAUUUGUGUAAGAAUUAAUAUUGAAGAGAAAUGCUAAAAAUCCAAGGAAUAUGGAAAAACUUUUAAAUGAUAGAGAAACUUUAAAAGCCAUUAAUUCAUACUGGAGGAAGAUCCUUUGAAUGUACUCAUGUUGAAGCAGACUGUAAUCAAAACCCAAACUUCCAGUGUAAUAAAAUUAAGAAAACUUUCUUGCACUUCGCAAACUUAAGAAACAUCAGAUUAAUUCCUACUGGAGAGAAAUCUAAAUGUAAAGAAAGUGAGAAAGCUUUCAAUGAUCAGGAAAACUUAAUAAAUCCAGUAGAACCCAUACUGAACAGGAAUUUUUUUCAGUGCUAUUUAUUUUACAUGAAAAUAGCUUUAUGAGUUCCAGCAGCAGUAACAGAGUAGGCAGUUAUCCAGGAUUUAGCAGUGUCUAUGGGAUCAGAGGUUCUGGAAUAUCAUAUUCCAGAAGGCAAAGGACCUGGGGUUACAAUCAAAAAUUAACUACCCAGAUGGACUGAGCAUCUUCUUUGAAAAGAGGUGAUGGAGCUUCAGUGAAGGGGACUUUCAAUCAUUUCUAUUGAAAAAAGCAGAACUAAACAGAAAAUUUAAUCUGUAAUCACAGGAAUCAAGAGAAGCAUAGAAAGGUAAACAAGGUGUAAAUGUAUAUUAUUUAAAGAUUAAGCCAUUUAUAUCUCUAGAUGGGAAAACAAUACUUGUUCCUCUUGAGAACUGUUAUCUGUCACUGGGACUUACAAAAGGGGCAGCAUAUGGACUGAGGGUGUGUUUGUCAAUGGACUCUGAUGUGAUGACAUCAAAGAAAAAGACAUUAAAGUGUGGAAAAAGAUCUGUACUGGAAAAAGAGCAAAGGUGGGGUACAAUGGGACAACUAGAUCAAAUGAAGAGGUACAAAAGACCUAUUACAAUUGGGGGAAAGAAGAGAGGGAGAUGAGCUUGUCUGAAGCUUGAUCUCAUCAGUUUGGUUCUCAGAGGGAAUCAUUUAAUCAUUCAGUUAGGUAUAGAAAUUUAUCUAAUCCUCUAAAGAAUUAGGAGGAGAAAAGAAAAGAAAAAGGAGAAGCAGAAUAUAAAAGGGAGCAGAAAUACUAGGAGAACAGGUAAGAGAAGGGGGGAAGAGUUGACAGAAGAAAAGGUAGGGGGUAGAGUGGGUUAAAAAAAAUACUAGGGGAAGGGAGAGGUGUGAUAGGAGAUAAAGUAGUAGGUGGGUUAAAAAAAAAAUAGACUAAAGGACAAGUGGAAGAGGAGAGCCAAAGUACAUACUGGGGAGAAAAUAGGAUGAAGGGAAAUAAAAAGCUGGUAAUACUAACUGGGAAUGUGAAUGGGUUGAAUUCUCCCAUAAAAUGCAAGCAAAUAGAGUGCUUAAAAAGCAGGAACCUACAAUAUGUUGUUUACAACAAACACAUCUGAUAGAGAAAUACUUGCAGAUUAAAGGUAAAAGACUAGAACACAAUUUAUUAUUAUUCAGCUGAAAUGAAAAAAGCUGGGGUAGCACUUCUGAUCUCAGAUGAAGCAAAGAUAAAAAUAGAUCUUAUUAAAAGAGAUAAGGAAGGAAAGCACAUUUUGAUAAACAUUACUAUAAACCAUGAAGUAGUAACAAUAUUAAAUAUUUCUUAUUUCUUGAUUUGUGCCCCUUCUCCCUAAAAAAGGAUUUCAGCAUAUAUCCCAUUUACAACAUAACUUAUAAGUGGUCACCACUUGUAUUUUUGUUUAUUCAUUUCUGACUGUUAAUGACAUUAUUUGGAGUUUUCUUUGCAAAAAUAAUAGCCAUAUUUUCUCCAGCUUAUUUAAAAUUGAGAAACCUGAGGCAAGCUGGUUUAAGUGAUUUCCCUAAGAUCACACAGAUACUUAAUAUCUGAGUUAGAUUUGAACUCAUGAAGAUGAUUUCAAAGCUAGUGCUCUAUCCAUUGUAACAAUUAGCUACUCCAAAGAUGUGUAGGGGGAAGAGCAAUUUGAGCAACUUAUAUUUCUGGAGAACUCAGAUUUUACAAGAUAUUAUUCCUUACAUGAAGUCAGAGUCUUCCUUUUCAUUCCUACCACUUUGUUCUGGGACUCCUGAUUCUUCCUUCUGGAAAUAAGCAGAACAAUGGUGAUUUCUUCCUUUACAUGAUAGACCUUCAAGGACCAUCCUAGUCUCCUCUGAUUUUCUGGAUCCCAGCUUCCUUGAGCCAGUUCCCAUAUGAUGUCGCCUAAAGGGAUUCAUCCUGUCUAGAUACUGUGAAAUCAGAUACAAACUCUUCUGCUUGGCCCAUAAAGAAUGUUGAACCAACCCCGCUCCCCAGGCUUGUUGGUCAUUAUUUUUCUUUGUGAGCUCCAUGUCCAGACAGAAUGGCCUUCUUGCUUCCACAUAGGAUACUCCACAGUGCUUGAAAGGCAUUCAUUCCUCAGAGGGUCCACUCAACAGUUGCCUUCAAGGGUCUAUGUUCCAAGUCAGACAAAUUACACAGUGCCCAAUAAAGCCCUUGAGUAGUACAAAUCUCCUGGUUAAGGUCCCAGCAAAUUCGAAUCUUAGAUGUUAUGAAAUAAAAAAUGAAAACUUCAGAUCUUUUGAGCACCAGAAAGCAGAGUAAAAACAAAAAGAACCCACCAAUCAUCUUCAAAGACCCUCAGAAAAAACGGGUUGUCAGCCCAAAUUCAGCAUAUCCAUAUCAAAGAAAUCUCUUGGAAGCAUCCAGAAGGAUGUAAAUCAAAGACCAAGGAACCAGUCAAAUUUGCACAAGGCCUUGCAGCUUCUACUAGAAACCAGAGAUAUUAGAAUACAGUAUGCCAAAAAGCAAAAGACCUGAUCCUUCAACCAAUUUUUGUGAAAAAUUGGACAUAAUCCUAUGGUUACAAUGUUGAUCUUAAAGGAUCUUGAGCAUUUUGAGUAAGAAAUUUGAAGUAUAGAACCAGGAAUCCACAGGACUUUAAAAAGUCCACUUUAUUUGAGCAAAGAGACAGGUAAUGCUAAUAUUGUAAUGGGGAGAGAAGAAACAAAUGUCUCAUCAGAACCUGCAAAUCUUUAAAUAAUGGAGUUACAAGUUCAUGAGAAUUAAAGCUAUUCUCCAGUUGAUAAAUGGUCAAAGGAUAUGAACAGGCAGUUCUCAGAUAAAGAAAUUGAAAUCGUUUCUAGUCAUGUGAAACAGUGCUCUAAAUCAUUGAUCAGAGAAAUGCAAAUUAACAUAACUGAGGUACAACUACUCACUUUUCUGAUUGGCUAAGAUGACAGGAAAAGAAAAUGAUGAUUUGGGAUUUGGGGAAACGGGGACACUAAUACCUUGUUGGUGGAGUUGUGAACUGAUCCAACCAUUCUGGAGAGCAAUAUGGAAUUGUGCCCAAAGGGCUAUCAAACUAUAUAUACCCUUUGACCUAGUAGUGUUUCUACUGGGUCUGUGUCCCAAAGAGAUUGCCCUCCAAUUUGAUCUUUCUUGGGGAGAUGUUAAUAUUAAUCUGCUCUCGAUGUACAGAGGAAGCCACAGAAAUCAGCUUGGGUCCCCAAACUUCCCAGAUUCAGCUGUUAGAAGGAGUCUUUAAUAAAAGGGACUCAACAGCAGCAGAGCAGGAAGACCACAAAGUUAAAAGGAGAAAUGGAGAACAGUACCAAAUUUUAGCUGCUGCUGAAUCUGGGAACCAUAGAGUUUGUGCUUCAGGUGUAAUGGACAGGGCCACCAGGCUCUCAAAUGUCCUUAAAAGGGAAACUUCUGAGGUUCCCCCCCCCCAGUCCCUGCCCCAAGAGCAACCAGGAGGGGUACUGGAGGAGGGACUGCCUGCAGGGGACAACCUGCCCCCUGCCCUCCAGCAGGAGUUUGGGGUUUGACCAGGAUCCCUCUUGCUCUACCAUGACAUCAACAUUGGAACCCUGGGUAUUCUCAGAUGUGGGCGGUGAGACCACUGAAUUUCUUUUUGCUAUGGUGGCCUCUCUGUCUUGCUUCAGCAGUCUAGUCCUUCCCCCCGCCAUAGAAUGGGAAUUGAAGAGAAAUAAGAAGUCUUUUGAGACUUCCCCUCUGCCUUACCAGUUUGGUGACUUGUUAUUUAAACGCUCUUAUUAUUCUAUCCUCCUCCCUUAUUGAGUCGUGAUUUAAUGGUGAAAUUGGGGACCCAAUUUUCUCUUCUCGGACCGCCAGGCUAUCCCUUGGUGCUUCUUUCAAAGUUCUCCCAAAUUCCCUCUGAAUUCUGGGAAAAAAUAGAUUCCUCUGUCUGGGACCAAGGAAUCCUGGGUGAGCCACUCGCCACCCCAGCCUUAGUCAGGUUGGUGGAUCCCAGUGUAUCCCCCAUAAACAUCAAAACCCAAGAAAGGCAAAGGCUGGGGAAGAAUUGCAACCCCUGAUUGAGAAAUUCUUGAGCACAAACUUUUAGCAUUGGCUAAAGAUUUAAGGGAUUCAGAGUGCUUUAACAGCAGUCUCAUCCACUAUAUAGAUGAUAUUUUGAUCUCGAGCCCCACCUGAGAGGCUUCCUUAGAUGGUGCUGUAAAAACUCUUAAUUUUCUGGCCUUGAGGGGCUACAGCAUCUCCUUAUCCACAUUGCCUGCCAGGCUGUCAAAUAUUUGGGCCAUAACCUAACCCCCAUUCAAGGUCCUGACAACCUUCCCUUUGAAUGGGGCCCAGGUCAGCACUGAGGCUUUUAAGACCCUAAAAGCCAAACUGACUUCUGGCCCUACCUACUUCCAAAAAGCCUUUCACUCUGUAUGUAGAUGAAAAGUGGGGCCAGCCCCUGGAGUCUUAACCUGAUCCCAGCCAGUGGCCUACUUCUUAAAGAAACUGGAUUCAGUUUCCCUAGGAUGGCCCUCUUGCCUUAGAGCAGUGGCUGCUACCACUCUAAUUGAACAAGCCUCAAAAGUCACCCCAGGGCAGCCUUUGGGUGUUUUCACCCUCCACUGGGUUCGGAGCAUUCUAGAAGCCAGAGAGCAUCAGUGGCUACUAGUGGGAUGCUCCCAGGCUCUCCUGCUAGAUACUCUGAACCUGACUCUCCGGUAGUGUCACACCUUAACUCCGACACCCUGCUCCUUGACAGCACUCGGUCGGGAGACAGCAUUCGGAAGUGAGGAAGCUUUACAUUCUGUCUAAUCCAAGCAGUUCAUCUUGAGGGACAUUCCUCUUGACAACCCAGAUGGUGAAUGCUUUACAGAUGGGUCGAGUUUUCUUAAAAAUGGGGAAAAAAAGGCUGGAUAUUCUGUGGUGACCCUCAAUGGCACCCUGAAAGCUGAGCCACUGCCCCUUGGACUUUUGCCCAGAACUCAUUGCCCUGAGCAGAGCUUUGGAACUGGGGAAGGGAAUGAGAGGGAACAUCUACACUGACUCUAAAUGCGCUUUUCAUAUUUUUCGUGCUCAUGGCGCUGUAAAGAAAGAAAGGGGACUUUUGACAGCAAAGAACUCUCCUAUUAAAUAUGCAGGAGAAAUUCUACAGCUACUACAAGCUGUCGGCAAACCCAGGGAGGUUUCAGUCAUAUUUGGUGAAGGACACAGGAAGGGAGAUUUGCUUCAGGCCAAGGGGAAGAGGUUUGGAGAUUCAGCUGCUGAAGCUGCUGCCCACUCACCCCUGACUGUGGCACCUUUAAUCCCCCAGCUCCCUGAUUCUUACACCCCUUCAUGUAGCGCACAGGGACAAGCUUUGCAGAGGAAACGAAGAACAUCCUUUCUCCUUCUGGCUGGUUUCAAACACCCUCAAGACAUCUUUUGAUCUCAGAGGCAAGUCACUGGAAACUUCUUUUUGAUCUUCAUUAGGCUACACACCUGGGGAGAAAUGCUCUUCAAUCCAUUGUGAAAUGCAUUUUCACUGGUCACAAGCUGAGAAAAGUGAUCAGACAUGUCUGCCUGUACUGCCCAAUUUGUGCCCAAGUAAAUUCUGGAGGAAUUGUUAAACUCCCCCUCUCCUGAAGCCUUUUCAGAGAAGGGGCACACGCCUAGGGGAGAUUGGCAAAUAGACUUCACGCGUAUGUUCCCUUGCAGAAGUUCCAAGUUGCUUCUGGUCUUGUUUGACACAUUCAUUAACUGGAACCCCUGCUCUGGAGAAAGUUGUCCUUCCUCUCACUAUAAUGUCCUUCCUUUCACUCCAAGGAUGAUAAUUUUGCUCCUAGCAUUUUCUUGAUGUCUUUCUAUGGCCCCUGACAGCAGUUAACUCCUUCUUAGCCUUUCAGCUGGGGCUCCGUGGGCAGUGGGGGCGUUCAGGAUUGUUGAGUGGGCCUUCAACAUCCUCAGGGCACCCCACAGAUGGGAUGCAUUAUUUGCAAAGGCCCCAUUCCCAAACAUCACCAUCUCCACCCUAGAUGGCACCCCACUUUUAAUCUGCUCCUGAGAUUUAUUUCCUCCAGGCUCCAAGCUAUGAACUUCCAGCUACUCACUCAGUCUGAAGAUCAUGGAACAAGUGACUGGGACACUCAACAUCCCCUAGAUGUUGCUGCUGCUGCCAUCUUCAGAUCUCACACUUCCCCUCCCAGCCUGAACCCGCAUUUAGCUUAGGGACAGCUCUACAACUUUGGUCAGCUUGAAGUAGCUCCAGAAAAUGAGAUCUUCUUCCCUUUGCCUCAAAUGAAUUUGGGGGUAACAGCUUGAAGGGGGGAUGAUAUAAUAGGAUUCUGUGUCCCCCUGAUGUUUUGGGGGAUGGGCAUGGGUUGCAAAAACCCUAAAUCUCAAUCCCUCCCAGUCUCUGGGAGCAUCCCCACUCUCCUACCAAGCUCCCACAGGAAAUUCCCACCCCCAAUUGAUCUGGAAAUCACUGGUCUGGGAAAUAAUCAUCACUCUUAUUGAUUUGGAAAUUAGCCUCUAAUGAACCCAAGCACCAAACCAUAAAAAGUUAAAAAAAAAAAAAUCAAGACUCUGUAUCCCAAACUUCACUAUCUUCCUAAUCAGGAAGUGGCCCAUUGAGAGAGCUGUUCAGUGAAAAUAAACCCAUUUUGCCAAAAACCUCACUUGCAGACUGCAAAUUCUUUCACAAGACCUGUGACACCAGCCUGGGACCGCCAUUGCUGUUAGGGUAUCUCACCCCUCAACAGAUUUAUGCUAUUUAAUUAUGUUAUGGCAAUUUUUUUUUAUUUCUCAAAUUUUAAUUCAGGAAUAAGACAAGCAAUCAUAAUUUUAAGAAAAAAAAUAGAACAUCAUUGAAUUGUUUUGUAAAAACACUCCCCUCCAAAAAAAGAACAGAAGGAAGAAUAGAGUUGACCCCAAAAAAGGGGGCAGAAUUAUUCAUGCUUCUUUUGCAAGCUGUGUGAAGUGAAGAUGGAUAGUUUUGCAGAGAAUCCACUUUCUGUAUUCUGCUUCAGGUAUGGAAAUGCUCUUCUUUUAUUAUUUCAGUUCAAGAUAAAAAAACUUAGAACACACACAGAUACCUAUCACAGACCCUACUGUCUCCAAUAAUACAGCAUGUGCAAAACAGUAAAGAUCAACUGGGAGGUGAUAUUAGCAAGUAAAUAAAACUGGAGUUUUCCCUUCAUGUUUAUUUCUGAGGAAAUAGGAAGCAAGGGAAAGUGAGAAAGGGCAUUCCAGUCCCAUAGGAUAGUAAGAGAAAAGGCCAGAGCAUCAGAAGCCUCAUGAUGAGAUACAGGCAGAGGGACAUUGUCACUAGCUCAUGGGGCACUUGGGAAGAAGUAAAAUUUAAAGAAAUUGGAGAGGGAGAACAUAGUCAAAUUAGGAUUGGCUAUCAAGGUCAAUCAGAGGAUUUUCUAUAUUAGGUUCUGGAGGUAACAGAGAGUGACAGGAUUUUCUUGAGCAGGGGGGUAAUAUCUUAUAACCUGUACUCUCCAAUGAUCCAUUUAACAGCUGAGUGCAGCAUUGGCUGAAGUGGGGAGAGAGCUGGUGCAUAGAAACUGAUCAAAUAACAAUGGCAAGAGUCCAAUUGUGAGCAAAAGAGGAACACCUGACAAAAGGUGGUGACUUUCUGAAUGGAGCAAAGGCGAUAAUGGAUUUCAUUCUUCAGAAGAAGAUACUACAGUACAGAAGAGAAGAAUAAACACCUCCCCUCCAACAACUCAAGGGAUGCAUUUUCCUCAGGAUACCUUGUGGACCAAAAGUCUCUGAAUUCUCUCCAUCUUCAGUUCAUUUAACCUGGGCUCUUAUCUGUAUUUAAAUUCUUUUGUUUCCAAGCCUUAGCUGAGACUGCUUUUGGAUAGAGCAUAGAUCUUGCCCAUCUUUAUGUACAUCUUGGACAUACAGGUGUCUAAGUUGAAAAGGAAAAAAAGAGCAAGCUGGAUUACCUUCAGGAAAUUACAGAACUCCUUGGAUGACCCCCAAGCUUCCUGGGAAAGUAAUGGACUGUGUUUUUAAUAUUGGUCACUCUAUUCCUGACAGAUGUGGAAACUGCAUCAGACCAUAUCCUGAUAGGGAAAUCCAGAAUUCAGUUCUUUGUUCAGCCUAGCUUGGCAAAGGGAAACAGUCUGGGAGGUCUGGGGACAUGAGGAACAGAUUAGGCUGAGAGUAUGAAUGCUGCAUGCAGACACACUAGGACACAGGGAGAGGCUUGUACCAGGGCAAGAGAAGGUAGUAUGUCAGCGGGAGAAGGAAUGCAACAAUCUCUAAAAAAACAUUUAAAAUUAAUGUCACACAGAGCACAAUUUAGAGGCCCACAGUAGAUGGAACAGGCUCUGAUGAAAAAUGUUUCUCAACACUGAAGAACGGGAUUAAAAGAUGUCAUUGGCAAUUAUGUGAUGAGAAGGGAAAACAGGCUGGUCCUGUGACAAACCCCAGAGAUAACAAGUGGACAGCCAGAAUGUUUCACCAGCAUCCUGGAGAUAACAGGGAAAAGUGAGAGAAACCUCCAUUGAAUCGGGUGGACAUGGCCAGAAAUCACACACAGGGUGGACAGGUAUUGUGAUUGCCCUUGCUGAUGGGAACAUCUAAAUCUAUGGUAUUCAUCCAUUGCAGCAUUCUCCACUUCGCUUUUCUGUAAGUAUUUGUUCAAUUGAAUUGAUGGGGAUUCCCUGUCCUUCUCUCCAUCCCUUUUCAUCUUAACGUGACUCCCAUCUUAUCAUCCCUAACACAGUUCAAUUAAAUGUCUCCAUUUUCUAACAUGGUGCAGGGAGACUUUUCAGGUUUCACAGCCGAACAACAAUGAAGUUAGCACAACAGCUCUGAAGACUUUCAGUUUGGUAGUCAGGCUACUUUCCCAUCCUUUUCUUCUGGGCUUCCCAAACACUGAACACUGAUUCGUGCAUCAACCUUUUCAUGUAGUGUACAUCCCUUUAUAGUGUACUGCCAAGGUAAGUGGACUCAUCCACAGUAUUUCAUAUUUCUCCCAUUGUUGUAACCUAAUGGUUCCAAGGAUGCAUGGUGUAGUGCUGGCUGAUCCAGAGCCUCUGUUUUCUUAGUAUAUUCAGGCCAAACCUCUACACACAACAGAGAAAUGAUCCAUAUUAUAUUGUGUCUCAACCUCAGACGUCCCACUGAGUGCAUAUAGAAGAACUAAAGCAACACAAAGGAAAUCUGAGAUGUAAAAAUCCAGGGACGUAUCCAUCCCACAUGGUCAAAGGGACGAUGUGUGUGGCAGACCCUUUUGAGCUCAGUUUGGGCUGAUCAGGCAGUCAUGCUGUACCCUGACCUUGACCCCUAAUGUCUUUGGUCCUUUUCAAGUACAAAGAAGAAAAACUCAUUCUUUCACAAAAUCCUCCACUCUACAAACAUUCCAUAUGCUAGGAUCUUCCUGUAGACCUUUUAAAAUUGGAGAUGUGCCAAUAAACUUGAUGGGCCUAUAUGUUAUCACUAGCUCCCUUUUCAUUUUGUGGUCAUACAUCUUGUUGAAGAUUUAUUUUAUCAGAUUUUACCUGAGCCUUCUUCAUACUUAGUUAGUUUCACUCCACUCUCAUCAUACCCUACAGAAAUUAGGAUAAUGCAACUUGCUAGAGAAAAUGUUAAUGAGUUUUGUAGAAGAAUUAUACUGAAACUACACAAGGAUGCUCCUUCAGAGGAGAUCAUAAGAUGCUGUGCCACAGUGGGCAAAAAUGCCUUUUAUAGCCAGAUUAUGAUGCAGACUUCCCAAGAUCCGAACAUGGGAAGACAGGGUCCCUUUUGGCAAGGGACUUCCAGAGAGACUCGUCAAUGCUUUCAUUGUGGUAAAGUAAGGCAUCUGAAAGCUCAAUGUUGGCAUAGAGACAGAAUGAGAAAACAGGAUGGGAAAAUAAGACCCCAAACCCCAUGUCCAAAAUGCAACAGAGGCUUCCAUGGAGCCUCAGAAUGUAGACUAUUCAGGGAAACAGAAUGAGGAACCCAGCCCCAGGGCCCAAGGCAAAAAACACUUGGGACAUGAUGGCAGCCGAUGCUACACCCAGAGUGCCUAGAAGUUCAGUACCCAGACAUGACCAAUCAGCCAGGAAGCAACCUGAUGGGAGAAAGGGAUUACAAUUGGGGAGAAUAGAGUUGUAUGCAGCUGGGACAACUGAGAUACUCCCUGGAGAAGUGAAAUCUGUUCCUCUCCAAUCUAUGGACCCUUGCCUCCAGGCAAGUAGGCUUGACCAUUUCACUUCCUGAGAGUACGUGCAAAACAGUGUCCAUCCACACACUGUUGUGGGAAAAUGGGGAAUGUGUAGAUAAUAUCCCAGUCACUAAUACAGGUAGACAAUGUGUGACUUAUCAACCAAGAGAAGUAAUGGCAUCAGGUUUACUCAUACAGACUCCUAAUAAGCAAUCUGGUGAUAGUGGUCCCCAUUCUGGCAGCAGAAUCCAGGAAUAUUCUGGACAGCAGCUGUGACAACUGACCGACCUAUGCCCACUAUCUAUAUAAAUGGCAUACCAUUAGAAGGAUCGGUAGACACAGGUGUAAAUCAUACAGUCAUUUGAGGGGCCAGCUGGCCCAGUCACUGGCCAAAGACUAAGGCAGACACCUACAUGUCUAGCAUAGGAGGAUCAAUAGUAGCUGAAGUUAGUGCUAUCUCUUUGAGAUGGAUAUUUGAAGGUGAAACAGAAAUUUUUACUACUUUUGUGGUAGAAAAAAAUCCCCAUCAAUCUGUGGGGAAGAGAUAUUUUACAACAGUUAAAAUUACAAAUGAGUACUUUGGUUUUUUAGUAAGGGCUACUGUUGAAGGUCUGCCAACAGUCUCACCUGUUCCCAUUCAAUGGAGAACUGAUACACCAGUGUGGAUAGAACAGUGGCCCUUAGCUAGCAAUAAACUUCAGGCUUUAUUAGAUGUAGUAUAGGAGCAGCUUGACCAAGGACACUUACAACCUUCCCUAAGUCCUUAGAAUCCCCCUGUAUUUGUUGUAACUGAAAAAUGGAGGAUGUUGACUGAUUUAAGAAAGAUAAAUGAACAGAUGGAAACUAUGGGAACUCUUCAGCCUGGACUUCCAUCUUUUACUCAAUUGCCUAGAGAAUGGCCUCUUUGGGUUAUAGGCAUUAAGGAUUGCUUCUAUUCUAUCACUCUAGAUAAGAAGGAUAUGAAAAGGUUUGCCUUCUCAGUGCCCAACGUUAACUUAGCUGAGCCUUAUAAAAGAUAUGAAUGGACCGUUUUGCCACAGGAAAUGAAAAAACAGCCAGACUAUGGUCAAAUGCAUGUGGCUGCUGUUCUUACUCCAGUAAGAAAAGCAUUUCCAAAAGUUAUGUUAUUACAUUACAUGGAUGAUAUAUUGGUAUGUGAACUUGAGGAGCAAAUGUUAGAAGCAUGUCAACAAAAGAUCAUAGAAACACUAAGGAACUAAAAAAUUGCAUAUAGCUCCAGAAAAAAAUUCAAAGGCAUGCUGCUUUUCAAUAUUUAGGAUAUGAAGUAUAUUCUAAGGUGCUUACAGGACAAAAACUUUCCUUAAGAACAGAGAAGCUAAACACCUUAAAUGACUUUCAGAAAUUGAUAGGAGAUAUCCAAUGGAUGCGUCCAAUGUUAGGCUUACUACCUAUCAAUUGCAACCAUUAUAUGACAUUUUAAGGGGAGACAGUGCUUUAAAUUCACCAUGUCAUCUUACAAAAGAAGCUCAAGAGCCUUUGAAAGAAGUUGAACUGGCUUUAUCCAAUGUGGUUGAAAGAGUCACUCAAAAACCCUUGGAAAUAUCAGUGUUUGUUACAUAAGAGGCACUCCUUCAUCAAGGAGACAUUGUGAUAGAGUGGGUGAACCUCCCAGCACAACCAGAACAAAGCUUUACUCCUUACCCAGUGCUUGUGGCUAGAAUUUUAUUAAAGACCAUUAAGCGAGCAGUACAAUUAUCUGGGAGAAGACUUGACAAGAUAUACACCUUUUAUACCAAUGCACAAAUCAAUCUAUGCUGUGAAACCAUCCCAGAGUGGCAAGUUUUAUUGGCCAUGGUUCCAAAUUUUACACAUGGGUCUCCAUUAAAGAUAACCAGACUAUUACAUAAUUGGUGAUGGAUUCUUGAAGAAAAGGUUUCUAAAGUUCCUCUUAAAGGACCAAGUAUCUUUACAGAUGCAUCCAAGCAUAGCAUUUAUACUGUAUACUCUCGUGACUUCACUAUAAAGAGAGUAGUCAGAACUCCUUUUCAGUCCAUUCAGCAGAAUGAAUGUAUGCAGUCAUGUUAGCUCUUACUAUCCAGGAGAUAUAAAUAUAAUAUCUGGUUCGGCCUAUUCAAUAGAUGUGGUACAAAGAAUUGCCAUAGCCCAUAUAAAAUUUGUAGCUUCUAAUAUAUAUCAGCUCUUUAAGGAACUUCAAGAGCAAGUGAGAAAGCAUCCAGGUAAGAUUUACAUCUUGCACAUCCACAUUCAUAGUGAACUUCUAGGUCCUAUUUUUGAUGGUAAUUCAAAGGCAAAUAGCCUUCUAACCAUGUUGACUAAUAUUCCUUUAUUUCAGGCAGUCCAAGAAUCUCAUUUUAAAUAUCAUCAAGCUGCUCGAGCUUUACGUUUAUAAUUUGGAAUAACAAGAGAGGAAGCUAGGAGCAUAGUUAAAGCCUGUAUUGCUUGCCUUCCUUUCCACACUCCUACACUGCCUCCGGGGAAGAACCCUCGUGGUUUAAGACCCAAUGAAAUUUGGCAAAUGGAUGUGACCCAUUAUAAAUCUUUUGGUCGUCUGUCUUUUAUCCAUGUUGUAGUAGACACUUUUUCAGGAUUUACUCUUGCAAUACCAGCAGCAAAAGAGACUGCCCGAGUGGUCACUGAAUUCCUUAUACAAGCAUUUGCAAUUAUGGGUGUGCCACAAGCAAUAAAAACAGAUAAUGGACCUGCAUAUACUUCUAAACUUACUUUUGUGCACAGUAUAAGAUUUUAGACCCACUGGCAUACCUUUUAAUCCUCAAGGACAGGCAAUAGUAGAGGGGAGAAACAGAGACAUCAAGACGCUCCUCCAAAAACAAAAUGGGGAGCCACAGGUAACUCUAGAGAACUUUUAAACUUAGCUCUUUAUACUAUUAAUUUUUUUUCAUUUUUGAUAAAGAUGCACUGGCUCCGGCAGACAGGUUUUAUAACCCAUGGGAAGAGCAGUGUCCAGUGUGAGUAGCUCCACUAUCUUUAGAUAAUCACCAGGUGAUAUGGACAGAUCCAGAAAGUGGUGAAUGGAAGGGACCAGAUAGAUUAACUGCUUGGGGCAGAGGGUUUGCUUGUAAUUCUACAGAUGGAGAAGGAAUCAGAUGGAUGCCAAUGAGCUGUAUUCGCCUUGUCCAUCGGAGAGAGACGGAGCAGACCCUUGAAACGAAGGAGAAAACCCAAGAAACAUUGGGUGGUUCCAUCACUGACUGUGCCCACCACUGAAAGAACAUGGCAGUUAUGGCAAUUACCUCAUGAGCAUCAAAAAUUGGCAAUAAGACUGUUGCAGGACUUUAAAACCAGCAGGAAUCAUUGGAUUCCCUGACACAUGAAGUACUGGACAAUAGACUGGUUUUGGACUAUCUCUUGGCUGAUGAAGGGGGUGUAUGUGUGAUUGUUAUUUCUAUACCUUCCUUUUAGGACUUAUGUACAUGUAUAUUCAUAUUGUUCGUUAUAUCACUAUGUUGAUUCAUGUUGUAUGUUACAUCACAACUAGCCUGAGUUAUAUUACAAUAUCCUUGUGUAAUACCUCCCAUGCUAAUGGAUUUAUGUAUACCUGUUUCAAUUUCAGCCUAGAGGAAAUCUGCUAACAAUAUCUGGUUUGACUCCCCAUUUCCCUUCCCUUUGGUGAUUUUCACCUUCCUUCCUGAGAAGUCAGGGAGGGUGUGACCACCUGUGUUCUAAAACAAAAGAAAGCGGGAGAUGUAGAGGGCAGAACUUUGGAGAAGUAUAUUUGAAAGGUGUUAACUCAGUGGAAUUGAUGAGACAAUCUAUUUAGUUUACAUAUACUUAGUACUUAGUUUAUCUAGUUUACAUAUAUUUAUCUUGUUUACAUAUACUUAGUACUUAGCAUAGUGAUAUAAUAGUUCUACAGUUGAUGUCAUUGUAAAAGUGAUGACUCAGGACAAAGUCAGCCACAGAUAUUCUAUCUUUGAUCAUCCUUUUGGUGGCUCUCCUGCCUCCUGCACUAAGAGAGACUGGCAGACUGGCAGAAUGCUGGAAGAGACUAGGUCAGACAGUCAGACUGUGAAUUAGACUGCUGGCAGGGACUAUGAGCCAGACUGACUGAGACUGUGGAGCAGACUGGUUCAGACUGGGAGACUAAAAGAGACAAUAAAGACUUUGGAUUUUAUUUCUAA